GAUGAACGCUGGCGGCGUGCCUAAUACAUGCAAGUCGAGCGAGCAGACGAGGAGCUUGCUCCUCUGACGUUAGCGGCGGACGGGUGAGUAACACGUGGAUAACCUACCUAUAAGACUGGGAUAACUUCGGGAAACCGGAGCUAAUACCGGAUAAUAUAUUGAACCGCAUGGUUCAAUAGUGAAAGACGGUUUUGCUGUCACUUAUAGAUGGAUCCGCGCCGCAUUAGCUAGUUGGUAAGGUAACGGCUUACCAAGGCAACGAUGCGUAGCCGACCUGAGAGGGUGAUCGGCCACACUGGAACUGAGACACGGUCCAGACUCCUACGGGAGGCAGCAGUAGGGAAUCUUCCGCAAUGGGCGAAAGCCUGACGGAGCAACGCCGCGUGAGUGACGAAGGUCUUCGGAUCGUAAAACUCUGUUAUUAGGGAAGAACAAAUGUGUAAGUAACUAUGCACGUCUUGACGGUACCUAAUCAGAAAGCCACGGCUAACUACGUG
This 497-nucleotide ribosomal RNA is filed under the name uncultured bacterium. RNAcentral's name for it is "partial 16S ribosomal RNA". It matches the Rfam family "Bacterial small subunit ribosomal RNA", at positions 28 to 507 of the family's 1533-position model. The record is from RNAcentral.